CCAACAGGGAUUGCCUCAGUAACGGCGAGUGAAGCGGCAACAGCUCAAAUUUGAAAUCUGGCCCUUGCGGGGUCCGAGUUGUAAUUUGCAGAGGGUGUUUCGGGUGCGGCGGCGGUCCAAGUUCCUUGGAACAGGGCGUCAUAGAGGGUGAGAAUCCCGUAUGCGACCGCUUGCCAACCCCGUGUGAAACCCCUUCGACGAGUCGAGUUGUUUGGGAAUGCAGCUCUAAAUGGGUGGUAAAUUCCAUCUAAAGCUAAAUAUCUGCCAGAGACCGAUAGCGCACAAGUAGAGUGAUCGAAAGAUGAAAAGCACUUUGGAAAGAGAGUCAAACAGUACGUGAAAUUGUUGAAAGGGAAGCGCUUGCGACCAGACCUGCGCGGGGGCGAUCAGCGACCGCUCGCGGCCGUGCACUCGUCCCCGGUCAGGCCAGCAUCGGUUCGGGCGGUCGGACAAAGGCCCUAGGAAUGUAUCUCCCCCCGGGGAGCCUUAUAGCCUGGGGCGCAAUGCGGCCAGCCUGGACCGAGGACCGCGCUUCGGCAAGGAUGCUGGCGUAAUGGUUGUUAGCGACCCGUCUUGAAACACGGACCAGUAAGUCUCGACCUACCACCGUACCCGGAGCACCUCACUAACGUCUAUGCAGAGGAGUCUAACAUUUAUGCGAGUGUUCGGGUGUCAAACCCGUACGCGCAAUGAAAGUGAACGGAGGUGGGAGCCUUCGGGUGCACCAUCGACCGAUCCUGAUGUCUUCGGAAGGAUUUGAGUAUGAGCAUAGCUGUUGGGACCCGAAAGAUGGUGAACUAUGCGUGAAUAGGGUGAAGCCAGAGGAAACUCUGGUGGAGGCUCGCAGCGGUUCUGACGUGCAAAUCGAUCGUCAAAUUUGCGCAUAGGGGCGAAAGGUGCGUUUUUAGGGAGGAUGUGUACCCGGGGAUCAAUAACUAACAGGUUUUACAGACUAAUCGAACCAUCUAGUAGCUGGUUUCUGCCGAAGUUUCGUGAGUCGACCCCCUAACCUUCCACUCAGAACUUCCACUAACAAUAUCGCAGCCUCAGGAUAGCAGUAACGUCUUCAGUUUUAUGAGGUAAAGCGAAUGAUUAGAGGCCUUGGGGUUGUAAGUUGCACUUUCUCCGGGGGGCACCCCCGGAAAGCUACCUAAAAGACCAUUGCUAAUUGAUGCCAGGAAACAACCUUAACCUAUUCUCAAACUUUAAAUAUGUAAGAAGUCCUUGUUACUUAGUUGAACGUGGACAUUUGAAUGUACCGUUACUAGUGGGCCAUUUUUGGUAAGCAGGUAAGUUAUCACCCCUACACCUACCCCAUCGAUGCCAGCCGUCUAACGAGUAUUCGCAGAACUGGCGAUGCGGGAUGAACCGAACGCGAGGUUAAGGUGCCAGAAUGUACGCUCAUCAGACACCACAAAAAGUGUUGAUGCAUCUAGACAGCCGGACGGUGGCCAUGGAAGUCGGAAACCGCUAAGGAGUGUGUAACAACUCACCGGCCGAAUGCAUCAGCCUUGAAAAUGGAUGGCGCUCAAGCGUGCUACCCAUACCUCGCCGCCAGGGUAGAAACGAUGCCCUGGCGAGUAGGCAGAC
RNAcentral lists this ribosomal RNA (1590 nucleotides) under Bacidina phacodes. RNAcentral's name for it is "eukaryotic LSU rRNA". It matches the Rfam family "Eukaryotic large subunit ribosomal RNA", at positions 65 to 1390 of the family's 3401-position model. Lineage: Eukaryota; Fungi; Ascomycota; Lecanoromycetes; Lecanorales; Ramalinaceae. The record is from RNAcentral.